UUCAAUUACAGAAUUUAGCGUU
Molecule: non-coding RNA, 22 nt
Filed under: Arabidopsis thaliana (thale cress)
Lineage: Eukaryota; Viridiplantae; Streptophyta; Magnoliopsida; Brassicales; Brassicaceae
Source: RNAcentral